UACGUAGGGUGCGAGCAUUGUCCGGAAUUAUUGGGCGUAAAGAGCUCGUAGGCGGCUUGUCGCGUCGGAUGUGAAAGCCCGGGGCUUAACCCCGGGUCUGCAUUCGAUACGGGCAGGCUAGAGUUCGGUAGGGGAGAUCGGAAUUCCUGGUGUAGCGGUGAAAUGCGCAGAUAUCAGGAGGAACACCGGUGGCGAAGGCGGGUCUCUGGGCCAUUACUGACGUGAGGAGCGAAAGCGUGGGGAGCGAACAGG
Molecule: ribosomal RNA, 252 nt
Filed under: uncultured bacterium
Lineage: Bacteria
Description: partial 16S ribosomal RNA
Rfam family: Bacterial small subunit ribosomal RNA
Source: RNAcentral